AUGUUGUGUGAAUGGAGAUAACAUUAGCACUCCUUUGGACAAGGAUGGAAUAAGCUGUUGGGCCUGAGAACAUAAAUAUAGUUAAGGCACGGCCACCUACUUUUUGGCUUCUAACCAUUGUUUUUA
Molecule: small nuclear RNA, 126 nt
Organism: Dipodomys spectabilis (banner-tailed kangaroo rat)
Lineage: Eukaryota; Metazoa; Chordata; Mammalia; Rodentia; Heteromyidae
Source: RefSeq, a predicted model, not a curated record